This 753-nucleotide ribosomal RNA is filed under the name Triticum aestivum (bread wheat). RNAcentral's name for it is "partial small subunit ribosomal RNA". The record is from RNAcentral. Lineage: Eukaryota; Viridiplantae; Streptophyta; Magnoliopsida; Poales; Poaceae.
AUGGCGUUGGAUGGUGUGGCCGGGAUGUUGAAAGGGCUGAAGCUUUCGGAGGAAGAGAGGAGGGGAGUUAGGGUUAGACUGUCAUCAACGGAGAAGGGGAAGGCGACAGCGAUGCAGGCCGUGGGUAAGAUCAUGUCGGAAAGAUUUGCUCACCGUGAUGCGAUCUGUUUGUCUCUUGGCAAGGUUUGGUGCCCGAUCAAGGGUAUCUAAUGCAGGGAGAUCGGAGCAAACCAGUUUCUCUUCACGUUUCUUCAGGAGUUGGGUAAGCGCAAGGCUUUAGAAGAUGGGUCGUGGAUCUUUGAUAAGGAUUUGGUGGUCGUCGAGGAUUAUGUCCCUAGCAAGAGGCCGGAGGAUUACGCCCACAAUAAUAUCCCAAUAUGGGUUAGGGUUUACAACCUCCCCCUGGGUAUGAUGAACGAGGAAGCAGCGGAAGAUACUGGAAACAUCAUUGGAGUUUUGGUUGAAGCGGAUACAGGGUCGGAUGGGAAGGCGUCUGGGAGGUUCCUUCAUGUUAAAGUGAGAAUGCAAAUUGAUAAACCUUUGAUGAGAGGAUUUACUCUUGAGGAGGACUGGGUGGAAGCUGGAGCUGAAGGUUCGGAGAGGACAACCAUGGUGCGUGGGGAGGAAGAGGAAGGGAGGGACUGGUGCAGAUUGGAGUAUGAGUACUUACCGGACUUCUGUUAUACUUGCGGGGUCAUUGGCCGCGGAGAGAAGGACUGCGUCACUAAACUGAAGAAAGGUGAACAGCCAUAG